GUCUACAGCCAUGCUACCCUAAACAAGACAAAUCUGAUCUCAGAAGCUAAGCAGGGUCAGGCCUGGGUUGUACUUGGAUGGGAGACCACCUAAGAAGACCAGGUGCUAUGGGCA
This 114-nucleotide ribosomal RNA is filed under the name Pteropus alecto (black flying fox). Lineage: Eukaryota; Metazoa; Chordata; Mammalia; Chiroptera; Pteropodidae. RNAcentral also lists the same sequence under 1 other name. The record is from RNAcentral.